RNAcentral lists this ribosomal RNA (253 nucleotides) under uncultured bacterium. RNAcentral describes it as "partial 16S ribosomal RNA". It matches the Rfam family "Bacterial small subunit ribosomal RNA", at positions 524 to 776 of the family's 1533-position model. The record is from RNAcentral.
UACGAAGGGGGCUAGCGUUGCUCGGAAUGACUGGGCGUAAAGGGCGCGUAGGCGGAUGGUACAGUCAGAUGUGAAAUUCCCGGGCUCAACCUGGGGGCUGCAUUUGAUACGUGCUGUCUUGAGUUCGGAAGAGGGUCGUGGAAUUCCCAGUGUAGAGGUGAAAUUCGUAGAUAUUGGGAAGAACACCGGUGGCGAAGGCGGCGACCUGGUCCGAGACUGACGCUGAGGCGCGAAAGCGUGGGGAGCAAACAGG